GACCAUGUAGCUCAGUGGUAGAGCACUUGCUUAGCAUGCAAAAGGUCCUGGUCC
This 54-nucleotide transfer RNA is filed under the name Cavia porcellus (domestic guinea pig). It matches the Rfam family "tRNA", at positions 1 to 54 of the family's 71-position model. Rfam says of the family: Transfer RNA (tRNA) molecules are approximately 80 nucleotides in length. The record is from Rfam by way of RNAcentral. Lineage: Eukaryota; Metazoa; Chordata; Mammalia; Rodentia; Caviidae.